AGUGAACGCUGGCGGUAGGCCUAACACAUGCAAGUCGAACGGCAGCACAGGAGAGCUUGCUCUCUGGGUGGCGAGUGGCGGACGGGUGAGGAAUACAUCGGAAUCUACUCUGUCGUGGGGGAUAACGUAGGGAAACUUACGCUAAUACCGCAUACGACCUACGGGUGAAAGCAGGGGAUCUUCGGACCUUGCGCGAUUGAAUGAGCCGAUGUCGGAUUAGCUAGUUGGCGGGGUAAAGGCCCUCCAAGGCGACGAUCCGUAGCUGGUCUGAGAGGAUGAUCAGCCACACUGGAACUUGGACACGGUCCAGACUCCUACGGGAGGCAGCAGUGGGGAAUAUUGGACAAUGGGCGCAAGCCUGAUCCAGCCAUACCGCGUGGGUGAAGAAGGCCUUCGGGUUGCAAAGCCCUUUUGUUGGGAAAGAAAUCCAGCUGGCUAAUACCCGGUUGGGAUGACGGUACUCAAAGAAUAAGCACCGGCUAACUUCGUGCCAGCCGCCGCCGUAA
RNAcentral lists this ribosomal RNA (506 nucleotides) under uncultured bacterium. Its description in RNAcentral is "partial 16S ribosomal RNA". It matches the Rfam family "Bacterial small subunit ribosomal RNA", at positions 29 to 523 of the family's 1533-position model. The record is from RNAcentral.